Herpailurus yagouaroundi (jaguarundi) is the source of this 848-nucleotide RNA transcript. It is a transcript of the gene named sialic acid-binding Ig-like lectin 11, with no coding region annotated. The record is from RefSeq and is a predicted model, not a curated record. Lineage: Eukaryota; Metazoa; Chordata; Mammalia; Carnivora; Felidae. The transcript is spliced from 4 exons.
UCCGACCUCAGACUCGGCUGCGAGGCCCGGAAUGAGCACGGGGCCCAGAGCACCGCCGCGGUCCUGGUGUUGCUGCCAGCGCAGCCUCUGCUUGGGGGAGGAUUCGUUCUGGCGGCUGCCGGGGGUGCUGGUGUCGCUGGCCUGCUCGGUCUCUGUCCUUGCCUCAUCUUCUUCAUAGUGAAGACCCGCAGGAAGCAGGCCCCAGAGACAGCAGCUGGCGGCAAGGAAGCUGUCUGCACGUUGGGUCCCAUCUCCUGGGGUUCCCAGCAUGAGGAUUGGUCAAGCACCCCCCUAGACCACCCGCCCCCAGCCAUGGCCGCUCCCACCUCGGAGGAGGGAAAGGAGCCCCACUACGCUUCUCUCACCUUCCAUGGGCUGAAGCCCUGGAACCUUCCGGACCCGGAGGCCACCAGCACCACCGAGUAUUCAGAGAUCAAGAUCUGCAAGUGACGCCUCCAGCCAGCUCCUGCAACCGCUGGCUAGAGGGCUCAGGGCUUCUAAAGAAGGGACACCUCCGGGACAAUUCCUGAGUGAAUAGUUUUCCACAGAAACGGGUCGCCAACCGGUGUGGUGUGUUGGCGUUCACCUGUGUGGGGAUGGGCAGAGCUGGGCUCACAUUUCAGCCAGUCACCGAUAAAUUACAAGCCGGUGCAGAGAGAGCACUUUGCCCGAGGUCACGGGCUCUUCCCAGGGUAACCGACCUGGUCAGGAGGAUUCCUGACCCGCCCUCCGCCCCGCCCCACUCUGAGCCUGCUUUCUGGAAACCCAACUUGUGUAUUGUCACCACACGGAAAACCAUUCCCGGAUUUUCUGCAAUAAAUGACAGGUUAUCUAAAUUAUAUACCCUC